AGAAAUCAGCCAUGGUUUGAGAAGAACAUCUCUUAACAGCGGUGCUUUAAGAUUUGUGCAAUGUACUUUCUAGAACUCUAGGCGUUGUCGGCUGCAUUCGAUCAUAGUUGGCUGUCUUUUGUUCCGCUGACAUCAUUUCGCGGCUGGUACAUUUAGCAAGUGAUGGAUCUGGACCUGUGAGUUGUGACAGCGUCAGCAAAACGACCGCAUUUGUCGAAAGAUUGCGGCCAACUUGUGUCCCAGCGAAGACAGGAGAAGGGAUGUACCAUGUCGAAUCAAAUCCUAGAUUAAACAAAUGAAUUUGCUGUGAAACGUUUAGCGGAAUUUAUUCCUGCGCCAACAGGUUGUGCAAAAUAUUUGCACAAAAUCUUGUUUUUCCAAACACCCGGAUGAUACGAUUCAGUUCUGAAAAAUAUCGCCUUUGACGGAUUUUUCUUCAGUGAGUCUUCCUUUGCCCAACUAAAGCGACAGUUAAAAGGCACAAUAAUAUGGUAGCAUUUGUACCAAAGAUCACGGUCACAAAUAUAUGCUCAGAGAAUGCCGACAUUCUUGUGUGAUGGGGGCUCAAAAUUCCCCAUGCUACACUUUGACCGGUCCAGCCUCUUGCUCGAGAUUAUAUGCAUAAUAGCAUAGACUCACUUGCCAAAGUUCCUAGUAAUGCGUUCAUGAAAUCCACUAACAUCCUCAUUGUCCUAGCCAUCACUUCUAC
This 709-nucleotide long non-coding RNA is filed under the name Triticum aestivum (bread wheat). RNAcentral's name for it is "long non-coding RNA (TAES_LNC022750)". The record is from RNAcentral. Lineage: Eukaryota; Viridiplantae; Streptophyta; Magnoliopsida; Poales; Poaceae.